RNAcentral lists this transfer RNA (76 nucleotides) under Bacillota bacterium. Its description in RNAcentral is "Firmicutes bacterium tRNA-Thr". It matches the Rfam family "tRNA". From Rfam's summary of the family: Transfer RNA (tRNA) molecules are approximately 80 nucleotides in length. Their secondary structure includes four short double-helical elements and three loops (D, anti-codon, and T loops). Further hydrogen bonds mediate the characteristic L-shaped molecular structure. tRNAs have two regions of fundamental functional importance: the anti-codon, which is responsible for specific mRNA codon recognition, and the 3' end, to which the tRNAs corresponding amino acid is attached (by aminoacyl-tRNA synthetases). tRNAs cope with the degeneracy of the genetic code in two manners: having more than one tRNA (with a specific anti-codon) for a particular amino acid; and 'wobble' base-pairing, i.e. permitting non-standard base-pairing at the 3rd anti-codon position. RNAcentral also lists the same sequence under 1 other name. Lineage: Bacteria; Bacillati; Bacillota. The record is from RNAcentral.
GCUGGUGUAGCUCAGCAGGCAGAGCAGCGCACUCGUAAUGCGCAGGCCGGGGGUUCGAAUCCCCCCACCAGCUCAA